CCUACGGGAGGCUGCAGUGGGGAAUAUUGCACAAUGGGCGAAAGCCUGAUGCAGCAACGCCGCGUGAAGGAAGAAGGGUUUCGGCUCUUAAACUUCUAUCAUCAGGGACGAAAGAAAGUACGGUACCUGAAUAAGAAGCCCCGGCUAAAUACAGGCCAGCAGCAGCGGUAAUCCGUAGGCGGCAAGCGUUAUCCGGAAUUACUGGGUGUAAAGGUUGAGUAGGUGGGAUGGUAAGCCAGAUGUGAAUGCCUUGGGCUUAAGCGGAGGAUUGCAUUUGGAACUAUCAAGCUAGAGUACAGGAGAGGAAAGAGGAAUUCCUAGUGUAGCGGUGAAAUGCGUAGAUAUUAGGAAGAACACCAGUGGCGAAGGCGGCUUUCUGGACUGAAACUGACGCUGAGGCACGAAAGCGUGGGGAGCAAACAGGAUUAGAUACCCUUGUAGUC
Molecule: ribosomal RNA, 443 nt
Filed under: uncultured bacterium
Lineage: Bacteria
Description: partial 16S ribosomal RNA
Rfam family: Bacterial small subunit ribosomal RNA
Source: RNAcentral